CCUACGGGAGGCAGCAGUGAGUAAUAUUGGUCAAUGGGCGGAAGCCUGAACCAGCCAAGUAGCGUGCAGGCUGACGGCCCUACGGGUUGUAAACUGCUUUUAUACGGGAAUAACGCGCCUUACGUGUAGGGCUUUGCAUGUACCGUAUGAAUAAGGACCGGCUAAUUCCGUGCCAGCAGCCGCGGUAAUACGGAAGAUCCGGGCGUUAUACGGUUUUAGUGGGUUUAAAGGUAGCGUAGGUCGCAUGUCAAGCGUGCUGGGAAAUGAACGGGCGCAACCCGGGCCUUGCAGCGGUAAUUGGCGUGCUUGAGACCGCGGAAAGCAGGCGGAAUUCGUCGUGUAGCGGUGAAAUGCUUAGAUAUGACGAAGAACCCCGAUUGCGAAGGCAGCUUGCUGCAGCGGAACUGACGCUGAUGCUCGAAAGCGCGGGUAUCGAACAGGAUUAGAUACCCCUGUAGUC
Molecule: ribosomal RNA, 460 nt
Filed under: uncultured bacterium
Lineage: Bacteria
Description: partial 16S ribosomal RNA
Rfam family: Bacterial small subunit ribosomal RNA
Source: RNAcentral